This 383-nucleotide long non-coding RNA is filed under the name Salmo salar (Atlantic salmon). RNAcentral's name for it is "lncRNA (ENSSSAG00000107296.1)". The record is from RNAcentral. Lineage: Eukaryota; Metazoa; Chordata; Actinopteri; Salmoniformes; Salmonidae.
UGAGUCUUCAGUAAAGCUUAAAGGUUGAGACUGAGUCUGCGUCUCUCACAUGGAUAGGCAGACCAUUCCAUAGAAAUGGAGCUCUAUGGGAGAAAUCCCUGCCUCCAGCUGUUUGCUUAGAAAUUAUAGGGUCAAGAAGGAGGCCUGCGUCUUGUGACUGUAGCGUACAUGUAGAAGACAGCCGUUACAGAACUACCCACCACCAAAGGACCAAGCAGCAGAAGAGGAGGAAGCCACAGGAGAGAAAAAGGGAACAAUGGACAUGGGAGGACGUCCUGGACGGCAAGGGAGCCUACACCUGGGAAGAGAUCCUGGCCGGAAGGGAUCGCCUCCCAUGGGAACAGGUGGAGGCACUCAGGAGAGUGGAGGCAGCUGGACAGAGG